Small nucleolar RNA from Camelus dromedarius (Arabian camel), 116 nucleotides. Lineage: Eukaryota; Metazoa; Chordata; Mammalia; Artiodactyla; Camelidae. The record is from Ensembl.
AUACAUUUCCCUUUGGAAGCAGCAAUACAUCCGUAACAUGCUACAUUAAAAAAGGAAUUCUCAGGGCUGCCAACUUUACGGUAGAGACUGAGUAGCAGUAUAUUUCUCCUACAUUA